UACGAAGGGGGCUAGCGUUGCUCGGAAUCACUGGGCGUAAAGGGUGCGUAGGCGGGUCUUUAAGUCAGGGGUGAAAUCCUGGAGCUCAACUCCAGAACUGCCUUUGAUACUGAGGAGCUUGGAGUCCGGGAGAGGUGAGUGGAACUGCGAGUGUAGAGGUGAAAUUCGUAGAUAUUCGCAAGAACACCAGUGGCGAAGGCGGCUCACUGGCCCGGUACUGACGCUGAGGCACGAAAGCGUGGGGAGCAAACAGG
Molecule: ribosomal RNA, 254 nt
Filed under: uncultured bacterium
Lineage: Bacteria
Description: partial 16S ribosomal RNA
Rfam family: Bacterial small subunit ribosomal RNA
Source: RNAcentral